UACCCGCAGCUCGAGUGGUGGCCACUAUUAUUGAGCCUAAAGCGUCCGUAGCCGGUCUUGUAAAUCUCUGGGUAAAUCCUGCCGCUUAACGGUGGGAAUACUGUGAGAGACUGCAAGACUGGGGAUCGGGUGAAGCGAGAGGUACUCCUGGGGUAGGGGUAAAAUCCUGUAAUCCUGGGGGGACGACCGGGGGCGAAAGCGUCUCGCUAGAACGACUCCGACGGUGAGGGACGAAGGCUAGGGGAGCAAACCGGAUUAGAUACCCGGGUAGUCCUAGCUGUAAACGCUGCACACUUGGUGUUGCCCCUUCUUAGGGAAAGGGCAGUGCCGGAGCGAAGGUGUUAAGUGUGCCGCUUGGGGAGUAUGGUCGCAAGGCUGAAACUUAAAGGAAUUGGCGGGAGAGCACCGCAACGGGAGGAGCGUGCGGUUUAAUUGGAUUCAACGCCGGAAAACUCACUAGGGAAGACCAUGGUAUGAGGGUCAACUUGAAGAAUUUACUCGAUUACAUGGAGAAGUGGUGCAUGGCCGGCGUCAGCUCGUACCGUAAAGCGUUCACUUAAGUGUGAUAACGAGCGAGACCCCCAUCCACUUUUGCCAGUACUUUCGCGAGAGAGUACGCACUAUGUGGAGACUGCCAGUGUUAAACUGGAGGAAGGAGAGGUCAACGGCAGGUCAGUAUGCCCCGAAUUCCCUGGGCUACACGCGCGCUACAAAGGACGGAACAAUGGGCUGCAAUUCCCGAAAGGGAAAGCCAAUCCCGAAAUCCGUUCGUAGUUCAGACUGAGGACUGUAAUUCGUCCUCACGAAGCUGGAUUCCGUAGUAAUCGCGAUUCAACAAAUCGCGGUGAAUAUGCCCCUGCUCUU
RNAcentral lists this ribosomal RNA (864 nucleotides) under uncultured archaeon. Its description in RNAcentral is "bacterial SSU rRNA". It matches the Rfam family "Archaeal small subunit ribosomal RNA", at positions 474 to 1337 of the family's 1478-position model. The record is from RNAcentral.